This 194-nucleotide ribosomal RNA is filed under the name uncultured eukaryote. RNAcentral's name for it is "partial 18S ribosomal RNA". It matches the Rfam family "Eukaryotic small subunit ribosomal RNA", at positions 1 to 196 of the family's 1831-position model. The record is from RNAcentral.
CCAACCUGGUUGAUCCUGCCAGUAGUCAUAUGCUUGUCUCAAAGAUUAAGCCAUGCAUGUGUAAGUAUAAGUAUUAUACGGCGAAACUGCGAAUGGCUCAUUAAAACAGUUAUGAUUUAUUUGAUAAUCGAAAGUUACAUGGAUAACCGUGACAAAUUACAGCUAAUACAUGCAGUCAGACCUGGUCCAAGGGU